UGGAUAAUUCUUUUCUACACAUGUAGGAAAGCUGAAAGACGGUUUACGCUGUCACUUAUAGAUGGGCCCGCGGCGCAUUAGCUAGUUGGUGAGGUAACGGCUCACCAAGGCCACGAUGCGUAGCCGACCUGAGAGGGUGAUCGGCCACACUGGGACUGAGACACGGCCCAGACUCCUACGGGAGGCAGCAGUAGGGAAUCUUCCGCAAUGGACGAAAGUCUGACGGAGCAACGCCGCGUGAGUGAUGAAGGUUUUCGGAUCGUAAAACUCUGUUGUUAGGGAAGAACAAGUACGAGAGUAACUGCUUGUACCUUGACGGUACCUAACCAGAAAGCCACGGCUAACUACGUGCCAGCAGCCGCGGUAAUACGUAGGUGGCAAGCGUUGUCCGGAAUUAUUGGGCGUAAAGCGCGCGCAGGCGGUCCUUUAAGUCUGAUGUGAAAGCCCACGGCUCAACCGUGGAGGGUCAUUGGAAACUGGGGGACUUGAGUGCAGGAGAGAAGAGUGGAAUUCCACGUGUAGCGGUGAAAUGCGUAGAGAUGUGGAGGAACACCAGUGGCGAAGGCGACUCUUUGGCCUGUAACUGACGCUGAGGCGCG
RNAcentral lists this ribosomal RNA (599 nucleotides) under uncultured bacterium. RNAcentral describes it as "bacterial SSU rRNA". It matches the Rfam family "Bacterial small subunit ribosomal RNA", at positions 170 to 755 of the family's 1533-position model. The record is from RNAcentral.